UCCGUCUACCUGCCAGCAGGGCUGAUGAGGGCCCUUGGGCUUCCUUCCCCACUCCAUGGUGCACUGCUUAAGAGCUCUUCUUGUACAGACUGACAUAUCUGUUGAGUUCCAGCUUACUUUCCAAAGCUGACCAAGGUUCCAUCUAGUGUCUCCCAUCCACGAUGAUCAUCACAACAGGUCCAGUGAACAUCCCUCAUGAUAUAUGGUUAUUUUUCUUCCAACUUCUAAAAUGAGGUGCAUCAUUUGGUGAAGAGCUUCUUUCCUUUCUGGUGCCAGCAUGGGACAUUUGGCCCGCGUUCGUCAUUCCCACAAUCCUCUUGGCUUUGGGCUGCUGACCUCCCUGUGGCGUGGCGGAUGAGACGCCAUUUUUGUGGUGCCUGCGGGUCCAACUUGCUCCACGUUCCUGUACUGCCUUCGGACCCAGAAAGUUCGAACUGAUUUCGGGCAGAGCUAGUUGAUUGCUGAUAAGAAGACCUUUUCCAAGGAGCUCUGGGCUACCGGUGUGCAGAUCCUCUCUGCACUGCAUUCCAACAUCAGCAGCCUUCUUAUCUGCUCUGGAAAUCCUGAAGCAAUAUUUGUAUUAAAUACACAGUUGAAUUGCACACCAAAUGGGAAGGCAGCUGUAGAGGCCCAGAAUGGAUCUCCAUUUCAUUAAAGGAUCCCUUCUCUUCGUAGAGUGUUGUGAGGGGAGUAUGUAAAAACGUAGACCUUAAGAAAGGUACCUCUAUUCACAGACAGACAUGUGGGUUGAUCACACAGGAUACAGUUGAACCCAAAUUAACCCUCCCAGUACCAGCUCUUUCAUUCUCCUCCUACAACUGCCAUUCAUAUUCGCACCAACACUCUUUAUUUUAAGAGAGCCAACAAAUGCUAUUUGAGGAUGGUUAAUUACUCAAGGACGAACACUAUAAAGAGAAGUUGGAAAAAUAUCUACAGGCAUUGUGGUUUUCAACGUGCUUCCACUUCACUGCUGCAAAGCUGAAAUAUAAAGGCAUUAUUUGGCAAUAUGUACCUUUUUCUAUGUAAAUGCCUUUAUACAAAACCACCAUACUCUGCUCAAGGUUCUCUACCUGACAUGAGAGAAGUUUAAGAAGGUAUAAAGGAAAUACCAAAUGGGACUCAGGCGCUGGACUAGGAUCUGGAAGACAAUCAAUGCUAGUCUUGAUCUUGAUCCUGAACCUCCAUGGUUACUCUUGAGGCAAGUUGUUGAACCUCUCAGGGCCUCAGGUUCUUUCUGG
Long non-coding RNA from Lontra canadensis (Northern American river otter), 1238 nucleotides. RefSeq lists it as uncharacterized. Lineage: Eukaryota; Metazoa; Chordata; Mammalia; Carnivora; Mustelidae. The transcript has 4 exons. The record is from RefSeq and is a predicted model, not a curated record.